ACAACUUUUAUCCUAUGGUGUGCGGUAUUCUCUUCAAAAAAAUUUUGAUUGGCCCAUCGUAUUUUUCCCAGCGUUUUUUUCCUUUUUCUGUUUAGAAAAUUGAAGAAAACAAUGAUAAAUCAUUUUCAGCUCGGAAAGAUUAUUUUUGGCCGAUAAAAUGCUAGCUUGCUUGGCUCCGUGCUCUCUGCCGAUGGUAGUUGUGCUAUCUCUUGCUUCUCUUGACUCGAUUCAACAGGUGUAGCAAUGACUCCCCCCAUCCUCCCUCGACAGUCGAGCAGUUGGCAGAUAGUUGGCUGCCCACCAGCCAUCCACAUUUGCAAAUCCUAAACCCUAAAUGCCUUGGAAGAAAAUUUAUGCGCAACCGUAGAAGAUAGCAAAAAUCAUUGAGAGGAUUUGCAACGCACCAAAAAAAUACGACAGAAAUCAUCAACAAAUUUCUUGCAGAGGAUAAUCGGGAAAGCAUUAGUGGAUACAUUCCCGUAAUCAGCACUCUGAAGACAAGGCGGCAUUAUAGAGGAGGGAAAGGCAUUGCUCUUUUCAGGCAAAAGAACUGGGUGCUCUCUUGUACAAGCUUAGGAAUUCGCCACCAAACAGGUUCUCAAAUGAUAAGUUGAAAACAAACAGUUCAAACCAAGGAAGCAAUAAUCGUUUGGGGAAUUAAUCGGCAAAACAAAAGUACAAGAUUUUUUCAAAAAAUCGGGAAAAAAUCAGAUUUACAAAAAAAUAUUUUGAGUCCAUAUUGUUGCAUCUCUGCAUGAGACAAAUUUUGAUUUCUCCUAUGGAGAGGUGCUGCCACUUUUGGGAGCAACCGUUGCUGUUAUUGGGCCAAAAGAUGUACCGAGGAUUGCUAGAGCGGCUGGCAGGUUAGCUGGUAAAGCAGUAGGCUAUGUCCAAAGUGCUCGAGGACAGAUGGAAACUGUCUUGCAUCAAUCUCAAGCUACUCAGGAUUUGCAAGUACCAGACAUCGACUCCACCUAGCUUCAUAGGCCUAUGCAUGUCUUAUUCUAAUGACAAGUUGAUCGGAGAUGACAUAAAAUCUCAUUCUACACUCUAGGUUUAAGAGUAAUUACCCUUGUUAGUCUUUGUGCAAGUUGUAGUUCAGUGUUGAGUGAUCUCUUGAGUUGUCUCUUGUUUGUAUGAUUAGAA
Long non-coding RNA from Cryptomeria japonica (Japanese cedar), 1146 nucleotides. RefSeq lists it as uncharacterized. The record is from RefSeq and is a predicted model, not a curated record. Lineage: Eukaryota; Viridiplantae; Streptophyta; Pinopsida; Cupressales; Cupressaceae. The transcript is spliced from 7 exons.